ACAACAUCGGCUGAGCACAGCACGAGGAUAUGGUCGUUAAGCACUGUGACGUCACCAAUGACGCUGUGUUAGGCAAGAAGGUCAGGAGCGGACGGCGUCGCCUCAGUGUCGGGCUGACAGCCAACAGACGUAGUUCCUUAGGCGGUGUCCCGCUUCUUACUUCAUUUGCAGCUACACCGGUCAUCAGAAGUCCACACUCGCCUGUUAUGUAAUUCGCGGAACCAAUUUCAUCCGAAUUACUUUGGUUAAGACCGGGUAUUUGGCAAGUUGUGCAGAUUUGAAUUUCUUCAGUCUUGAUAUCUGUAGUGUCCAUUGCAGCAGAUAAACAAAUUUUCAGGGUCUGGCUCGACAUUGGCCACGAGUCUUCUUGAGAAACAACUUUAAAGUGAACGGAGGACUAGUCAGUCACAAGGCACGGAACUAGUUCUGGCGUGACGUAGCUGAAAGUCUCGAUAGAGGUGGUUGGACGGUGUUGAACACGGGGCGGCUGGCAACGUUGCAGGAAUAUCUGAAAGAAA
Non-coding RNA from Procambarus clarkii (red swamp crayfish), 518 nucleotides. The record is from RefSeq and is a predicted model, not a curated record. Lineage: Eukaryota; Metazoa; Arthropoda; Malacostraca; Decapoda; Cambaridae.